Molecule: long non-coding RNA, 2261 nt
Organism: Oenanthe melanoleuca
Lineage: Eukaryota; Metazoa; Chordata; Aves; Passeriformes; Muscicapidae
Exons: 3
Source: RefSeq, a predicted model, not a curated record
GAAAACUGUGAUACAAACAUCAGUGCUUUCAAGUCUUAGUAUCCUGAUAUCAAAAAAGUCCUGCUGCUAGGCAGACACCAGCCUCUGUUGGCAAGAAGUCACUUAACCUCAGUGUGGUUUACUCGUGUGCUGUACCAGUGUCCCAGAUCACCUCAGCUGGAGCAGCAAAGUGUUUGGUCACCUCCCUUUCAAGGGCACGUGUCAGUGCAGAUUUGGUCCCACAUUUUAGAAGAAGAUACUUACAGUGGCUUGAUAGUAUAGCAGCACAACCUCUGGUGAAGACAAGGACACAAGAGUUUAGGAAAAACUUCCUGGCCAAGAAGAGCUCUGGAAAUUCACUACCAGGUCUGAUUAAAGCACAGGGAAAGGGGCAGGAGUGGCUGAUGUGAAACGGUGACUUUCUUUUCUUACACUUUUGCAUCAAUUAAGUUACUUAGUAAUCUGGAUUGCACCUCCACAUAUUUUUUAUUUGAUUGCUGUGUGAAUGCUCAUUGCUUACUUUGCUUUUGUUUUAUGUUUUUUUCUGAUACUUACUGAAAGCUCUAAACCCAAAUAAAUGACAGGUUCACUAAAAACUCAAUCUUGCUUUUGUGCUGCAAAAGCCCAUUCAAGGCUUCAUAAGCCCCUCAAAAUUGAUUUUUGGAGCGCUGUUAUUUAAUCUGCCCUUUACAAAACUUUAAUGCCUUGAGCAAAUCCUUCUUGCCUUAUUCCCACCAAAAGGCACUUUGACUUCAUGGUAAGCAGAUAAAUGUAAGACAAAAAAUGCAGUUCAGACUGUUCCCCCAGUCCCUAGUAAUUCUCUAACUUCUCUAUUCUCCCUUUCUCAUUAUUGAAGAAAGCCUCCUGUGUAAACACUACUUUUUGUGCUCCCAUGGCACACAGACUUUUUCCCAUCACUUGCUUGCUCUCCCCCACCUGCUAGAUCUGACUCAUUAGUUCAGCUUUAGCUUUGCUUCACCUCUUCACUCCCCUAAGAAUUGUAUUUAAAGUUCAUGGCACUGCUCUUAUUCUCAGCAUACUUUCUCUUCACAUACCUAGCAGCACUGCAGAUAAUACUUUGUAAUGUUCCCUGGGCUCAGCGGCUCCAACUUCAAUAUUUUCUUGCAGAGUUCAGUCUUUGAAAGGAGGUCUGUGGCAGAGGUGGCAAAGGGAAUCUGAAGGCUAACCCUGGGCCAGGCACUGGGUUAAUUCAGCCUCCUUGCCAGCUCAGGGUACAUUGUCAUCUGAGCCACUGCCAGCCAGACCAACCCAAAGCGGUGCUCCAGCCUUUGCAAGUGGAACUGCCUGCAAAACAACAUCCACUGCCUUUGAGGGAGGCACCUCUGCAUGUGGCACCUCCUAAGGGUUUGCUGUCAUUAGUUUGCAUGCAGAGGAGGCAGAAGGACAUCAGUGGGACUGACUGCAGUAAAGCUGUGAUUUUGCUUGCAGUGUAUGCCUGGCCUCAAGGAGCAGAUGGCCUGGAUGGAUCCCGGCUGCUGUCACUUGGUGCUGGUGCUGCAUUCAGAGCAUUUGGGCCCAGGCUGCAAAGUGAGAGGAAGCCUAAAACUGCCCAGUGCUAAGGGUUACACUUAACCUACUUGGAAAGAAAAGGGUUUGAAGCACUAAUUUUAGUGAACUUUUAGUGUCAAAUAACACCACUAUCCACAUUACUUUGUCUUUUCUUUAUGAAAAGUUUCCACUGAAAGAAAAUCAGCUAUCGUAUAACAGCUUCCAACUAGAAAGAAACCAGUAACUACAACUACACAAAGACUGAGAUACUGGCAGUUAAUGCUGGCAGCAAGUAGGUUGAAGUAGUUGGUUCUGCCAUCCACAUUAUUUAUACUGUAAUGGCCUUUAAACAGUAAUGCAGUGGUGAUUGUGUUGUCACCCUUCCUAUAAUGAAGUGUUUCCCCUUACCAGUUGCACCUGAUAUAUGUUAUAAUUGUUCUGAAACUCUUAUAAAACUUGACCAGCAGAAUAUUCAAAAAAGCUUAAAUAUCUUUAAAAAUAUUUGCAUUAAGUACUUCUUUGUGGCUUAUUCUUUCAUUUUUCUUUUAUCUGAAGAGACUCAUGAGUUCAGUGAUUGACAGAUACAAAUUGUAAGGCAGACCUUGGUUUGACUGAAAUCAACAGCAAAACAUUCAAUGACUUAAUUUUACCCCAGGGCAAGUAAAAGGCAGUUGGAAAACACCAUGCAAAGAGCCAAAGGAUUAUGACUCCAGCGACAGAGCGGCUUAUGAGAUUUUGUCUGCAACAGAAAUUUAUAAAUAAUUCCAUUUUUG